Molecule: ribosomal RNA, 253 nt
Filed under: uncultured bacterium
Lineage: Bacteria
Description: partial 16S ribosomal RNA
Rfam family: Bacterial small subunit ribosomal RNA
Source: RNAcentral
UACAGAGGGUGCAAGCGUUACUCGGAAUUACUGGGCGUAAAGCGCGCGUAGGUGGUUCGUUAAGUUGGAUGUGAAAGCCCCGGGCUCAACCUGGGAACUGCAUUCAAAACUGACGAGCUAGAGUAUGGUAGAGGGUGGUGGAAUUUCCUGUGUAGCGGUGAAAUGCGUAGAUAUAGGAAGGAACACCAGUGGCGAAGGCGACCACCUGGACUGAUACUGACACUGAGGUGCGAAAGCGUGGGGAGCAAACAGG